UUGCACAAUAAAUUUCACUAUUAAUUUUCAACCCCUACACCAGUACUGAAUGAUUUUAUAACAUAUAAAACACCCCCUGUUAGAACUAGUAACAAGAAUUCGACUUUCUCCCAAAUACAAGCUUAAACCAGCAUUGACCACCUACUGGUAUCUAACGCAAAUGACUUGACUGUAGUAACUACACACAAAACCUACAGAUCUCCCCACGUUACCCUAACACCAGAGUAUUAUAGGAAAGAUUAAAAGAGAGUGAAGGAACUCGGCAAACUACAGCCCCGCCUGUUUACCAAAAACAUCGCCUCCUGCUUACACAUAGGAGGUCCAGCCUGCCCGGUGACAAAGUUUAACGGCCUCGGUACCCUGACCGCGCGAAGGUAGCAUAAUCACUUGUUCUUUAAAUAGGGACCUGUAUCAACGGCAUCACGAGGGCUGAACUGUCUCCUCUCUCCAAUCAGUGAACCUAACCUCUUCGUGAAGAGGCGAAGAUUUAAAUAUAAGACGAGAAGACCCCAUGGAGCUUUAAACCAAAUAACACCCUCUUUAAUAUACACCCUAAGAAAUAAGAAGCCUGUUAGCUAGUUUUCGGCUGGGGCAUCCGGGGAGUAAAACCCAACCUCCCUGACAAACCAUCACAGAGCUACCACUCUAAGAGACAGCAAGCUGUAGUAACAUGACCCGUCUAUCGACCAACGAACCAAGUUACCCUGGGGAUAACAGCGCAAUCCAUUUCGAGAGCCCCUAUCGACAAAUGGGUUUACGACCUCGAUGUUGGAUCAGGGUAUCCCAGUGGUGCAGCCGCUACUAAAGGUU
Molecule: ribosomal RNA, 810 nt
Filed under: Phrynobatrachus francisci
Lineage: Eukaryota; Metazoa; Chordata; Amphibia; Anura; Phrynobatrachidae
Description: partial 16S ribosomal RNA
Rfam family: Bacterial large subunit ribosomal RNA
Source: RNAcentral